Molecule: ribosomal RNA, 516 nt
Filed under: Saitozyma podzolica
Lineage: Eukaryota; Fungi; Basidiomycota; Tremellomycetes; Tremellales; Trimorphomycetaceae
Description: eukaryotic LSU rRNA
Rfam family: 5.8S ribosomal RNA (bases 139-292)
Source: RNAcentral
UCCGUAGGUGAACCUGCGGAAGGAUCAUUAGUGAACGCCCUCACGGGCUUAUAACUAUUCCAAACCUCUGUGAACCGUGCCCUUCGGGGCUAUUUUACAAACAUGGUGUAAUGAACGUCAUAUAUCAUAACAGAACAAAACUUUCAACAACGGAUCUCUUGGCCCUCGCAUCGAUGAAGAACGCAGCGAAAUGCGAUAAGUAAUGUGAAUUGCAGAAUUCAGUGGAUCAUCGAAUCUUUGAACGCACCUUGCGCCCUCUGGUAUUCCGGAGGGCAUGCCUGUUUGAGUGUCAUGUAGACUCAAUCCCUCGGGUUUCCGAGGAGAUUGGACUUGGGUGUUGCCGCUCUGCCGGCUCGCCUUAAAAGACUUAGCGGGAUAGCACCGUAGUCGGCGUAAUAAGUUUCGUCGGUGAAGGUUGUGAUGACUGCUUACAAUCGCCCUCGGGCAAUUUUUGACUCUGACCUCAAAUCAGGUAGGACUACCCGCUGAACUUAAGCAUAUCAAUAAGCGGAGGAA